CAGUCGUACCGGCGGAUAAUCAGCCUUUCGGGUGCGAUUCUGUGGGGCGUGAGGAGCUUAACCGCCUUCAUGUUUUGCAUAUCCGUGCACAUUUGGUGUACUUGUCCGUGUGGUGGGUUAACAUCAAUUUUGGUGGUCAUAAAAUGACUGGAGGAAUGUAGCUUCGAUCUUGUAUUGAAGUGUUAUAGCCUUCGGUAGAUGUGAUGAUCGGGAUUGAGGAUUGCAACGGAUACCCUUCGGGGCUACCUGUCUGGUCUCUGAUCGUUGCUCUGGUGCCGAAAGCUUGCUUACGGUUAUCAAAGUCGAUGGUCAAUAGGUUAGAACGGGUUAAAUUCGUUAAGGAUGUUGACGUAAUGGCUUUAAACGACCCGUCUUGAAACACGGUACCAAGGAGUACUAACAUGUAUGCGAGUGUUU
Molecule: ribosomal RNA, 417 nt
Filed under: Glomus sp. (unid)
Lineage: Eukaryota; Fungi; Glomeromycota; Glomeromycetes; Glomerales; Glomeraceae
Source: RNAcentral